RNAcentral lists this small nucleolar RNA (120 nucleotides) under Procavia capensis (Cape rock hyrax). RNAcentral's name for it is "Small nucleolar RNA SNORA73 family (ENSPCAG00000020222.1)". Lineage: Eukaryota; Metazoa; Chordata; Mammalia; Hyracoidea; Procaviidae. The record is from RNAcentral.
UCAAGCUAACAGCGGACAUUGAAAGUAAAACUGGGUCUUGAGUCUGCGCCUAGGUAUGCCUACAGCUUCUCAGAGUCCUGUGGGAAAUGUCUAAGGACGCAAACUAAGCAGGCAACAUGU